This 763-nucleotide ribosomal RNA is filed under the name uncultured bacterium. Its description in RNAcentral is "bacterial SSU rRNA". It matches the Rfam family "Bacterial small subunit ribosomal RNA", at positions 70 to 828 of the family's 1533-position model. The record is from RNAcentral.
CUCAUAUUGAACCUAGUGAAGUAUGAGUUAGUGGCGGACGGGUGAGUAACGCGUGGAAAACCUGCCGUAUACUGGGGGAUAACACUUAGAAAUAGGUGCUAAUACCGCAUAAGCGCACAGCUUCGCAUGAAGCAGUGUGAAAAACUGAGGUGGUAUACGAUGGUUCCGCGUCUGAUUAGCUAGUUGGUGGGGUAAAAGCCUACCAAGGCAACGAUCAGUAGCCGGCCUGAGAGGGUGAACGGCCACAUUGGGACUGAGACACGGCCCAAACUCCUACGGGAGGCAGCAGUGGGGAAUAUUGCACAAUGGGGGAAACCCUGAUGCAGCGACGCCGCGUGAGUGAAGAAGUAUUUCGGUAUGUAAAGCUCUAUCAGCAGGGAAGAAAUACUGACCAUAGGGUCAGCAGACGGUACUUGACUAAGAAGCCCCGGCUAACUACGUGCCAGCAGCCGCGGUAAUACGUAGGGGGCAAGCGUUAUCCGGAUUUACUGGGUGUAAAGGGAGCGUAGACGGCAGCGCAAGUCUGAAGUGAAAUGCCAGGGCUUAACCCUGGAACUGCUUUGGAAACUGUGCAGCUAGAGUGCAGGAGAGGUAAGUGGAAUUUCUAGUGUAGCGGUGAAAUGCGUAGAUAUUAGGAGGAACACCAGUGGCGAAGGCGGCUUACUGGACUGUAACUGACGUUGAGGCUCGAAAGCGUGGGGAGCAAACAGGAUUAGAUACCCUGGUAGUCCACGCUGUAAACGAUGAUUACUAGGUGUUGGGG